Molecule: long non-coding RNA, 1244 nt
Organism: Branchiostoma floridae (Florida lancelet)
Lineage: Eukaryota; Metazoa; Chordata; Leptocardii; Amphioxiformes; Branchiostomatidae
Exons: 3
Source: RefSeq, a predicted model, not a curated record
UCUAUCCCUUCUAGUGUAUGCGGAGAACAUCAUCUGUUACGCGUGUGAGGGGACAUCGCCUGCGUGUUUAAGAGGAGAGGGCCUGGGAGACUUUGCAGUGGAGUGCCGACAAGACGAAGCUUGCUGGGUGGAACGUAUCGGAGAGCGAGGAGCCGUGAUCUACCGGCGCAGCUGCCGGCCGAAGUGUACCGACUACUGGCAGGAGGAGGUCUGCAUGACCGCCGAUGGGCAAGCCGAGGUGUGUAGUCUGUGCUGUACGAAGGACAGGUGCAACACUCACGUCCUGACCGGCCAUAGCGAAGCUCGAGCCCCAGGGGGAAGUGACGCCGGGACAACCGUGGCGUCAGUCAAGCUAGUGUCUAUCUUGGCCCUUACAAUGUGUCUGGAUAUCCUGGCAAUGGCUGAUUAAAUGAGAGGAAAAGUUUUCUCGUUCUUACCUUGAAACACAAAAUAUUGUGUAGAUUAUUCGCUGCUUUCCACCCAAACAAUCCACUACAAUUUGAGGCGAUUUAAAGUCUAUCGUUACAUUUAUGGGUACAUUUGAGAGAGAGUGAGUUGACUCUUUGCAAUGUACAAUAUGCUGUGCUAUAUGCUUCUGUCUAAAGCCAACAAGUGACAUUUGUGUAGAUUUUGAAGUCCUGAACAAUUUACGGAAGCUUGCACCACCAGAUACACACAGCAGGGCAUGUUCAAAUGUUGCCGUUACAGCAGUAAUAUGGAUUUUUGCAGUAAACAUGAUUUGUGGGGUUAAAAAGAAACUAGCCUGAAAACUGCACUCACCUUUAUUCUAAUUUGACUAAAUUGUGUAGUAGAAUUUUAACAAUAUAAUAGCAAUAACAGUUUCAAUACUAAUCGAAAUGUUUGUGAUCUCAUAAAACUUGCAUUUUUCGGAUGGUAAAGUUUAUCAGGACUAACUUGCAAAUAACCAAUAGAACAGAUUCAAUGUCACUUACACGGUAGUUGCUAUUUCAUCGACUAAUUGGCAAGCACAUUAACCAAUUAUAUCAAAUUUCCUUAAAAGGAACACUUACGAAUUGCUAUAACACUUUUAUUGUGUGUAUGUAAUGUAUGUACAUGUAUUGUUAUCUCGCUGGGAACGAGAUUAUGAUUCAUGACCAAUGAAGACCACGCUUGAGGGUUCUCGUGCCCAGAGAUUGCCGGUUAGAGCAGACAUGAUGAUCGAUGUCAUACAUGUAUUCAUUUUAAAUCUUAAACGUUUGUCAUUCAAAAUAUAGGCUGUUAUU